This is a long non-coding RNA of Passer domesticus (house sparrow), 517 nucleotides long. RefSeq lists it as uncharacterized. The transcript is spliced from 3 exons. NCBI's taxonomy places the organism in Eukaryota, Metazoa, Chordata, Aves, Passeriformes, Passeridae. The record is from RefSeq and is a predicted model, not a curated record.
ACAAAAGUCAUCAGCAUGCACUCGUGGAACUACUGCAGAACUAAUUGCUGUCCAAUCUACACUCUGAAUGCCCAGGCAUAACAUCUCAUGCCUUAAAGGCAAAGUAAGAAAGUGCAGGAAUAAGAGCCCAAGGGGGAUUGGAAUCUUCAGGGACAACUGCAAAAGGGGAAGGUUUUUGCUACAAAGGAGGAAAUUGCCACGGCUUUGGUCUCCACUAGCAAGCCAUCUUGGAAAAAACUGAUUCAGUCACAAGCCAAAUGAGGAGCAGGGAAAUCAUUAGGGGUUUAUUUUUAUUUGAAAAUUCAACAUAUACUCAGUGAACUCAAGUGGUGUGUUCACUAAUUUAUUUCCCUACUUUUUUCUUUUUUUCUUCUUCCUUUAGAUACACACCCACAAACCCAUGGAUUCAUAUAUUCACAAAGUAGACAGUGAGAGCUUGCCAUAUGCAAGCAUGCUGAUUAAGGUUAAAACCACAAAAUUGAUUUUCUUUUCUCCUUGUCACUGCACGCAAAAUACC